This 1166-nucleotide ribosomal RNA is filed under the name Vibrio cholerae. RNAcentral describes it as "bacterial LSU rRNA". It matches the Rfam family "Bacterial large subunit ribosomal RNA", at positions 1 to 1215 of the family's 2925-position model. The record is from RNAcentral. Lineage: Bacteria; Pseudomonadati; Pseudomonadota; Gammaproteobacteria; Vibrionales; Vibrionaceae.
GUUGUAUGGUUAAGUGACUAAGCGUACACGGUGGAUGCCUGGGCAGUCAGAGGCGAUGAAGGACGUACUAACUUGCGAUAAGCGCAGAUAAGGCAGUAAGAGCCGUUUGAGUCUGCGAUUUCCGAAUGGGGAAACCCAACUGCAUAAGCAGUUACUGUUAACUGAAUCCAUAGGUUAACAGAGCAAACCGGGGGAACUGAAACAUCUAAGUACCCCGAGGAGAAGAAAUCAACCGAGAUUCCGGUAGUAGCGGCGAGCGAACCUGGAUUAGCCCUUAAGCACUCGGUGAAGUAGGUGAACAAGCUGGAAAGCUUGGCGAUACAGGGUGAUAGCCCCGUAACCGACGCUUCAUCGAGCGUGAAAUCGAGUAGGGCGGGACACGUGAUAUCCUGUCUGAACAUGGGGGGACCAUCCUCCAAGGCUAAAUACUCCUGACUGACCGAUAGUGAACCAGUACCGUGAGGGAAAGGCGAAAAGAACCCCUGUGAGGGGAGUGAAAUAGAACCUGAAACCGUGUACGUACAAGCAGUAGGAGCACCUUCGUGGUGUGACUGCGUACCUUUUGUAUAAUGGGUCAGCGACUUAUAUUCAGUGGCAAGGUUAACCGUAUAGGGGAGCCGUAGCGAAAGCGAGUCUUAACUGGGCGCUCAGUCUCUGGAUAUAGACCCGAAACCGGGUGAUCUAGCCAUGGGCAGGUUGAAGGUUGAGUAACAUCAACUGGAGGACCGAACCGACUAAUGUUGAAAAAUUAGCGGAUGACUUGUGGCUAGGGGUGAAAGGCCAAUCAAACUCGGAGAUAGCUGGUUCUCCCCGAAAGCUAUUUAGGUAGCGCCUCGGACGAAUACUACUGGGGGUAGAGCACUGUUAAGGCUAGGGGGUCAUCCCGACUUACCAACCCUUUGCAAACUCCGAAUACCAGUAAGUACUAUCCGGGAGACACACGGCGGGUGCUAACGUCCGUCGUGGAGAGGGAAACAACCCAGACCGCCAGCUAAGGUCCCAAAGUAUUGCUAAGUGGGAAACGAUGUGGGAAGGCUCAGACAGCUAGGAUGUUGGCUUAGAAGCAGCCAUCAUUUAAAGAAAGCGUAAUAGCUCACUAGUCGAGUCGGCCUGCGCGGAAGAUGUAACGGGGCUAAGCAAUACACCGAAGCUGCGGCAAUGUCUUU